This 253-nucleotide ribosomal RNA is filed under the name uncultured bacterium. RNAcentral's name for it is "partial 16S ribosomal RNA". It matches the Rfam family "Bacterial small subunit ribosomal RNA", at positions 524 to 776 of the family's 1533-position model. The record is from RNAcentral.
UACGGAGGGUGCGAGCGUUGUCCGGAAUCACUGGGCGUAAAGGGCGCGUAGGCGGCCUGAUAAGUAGGGGGUGAAAUCCUGCGGCUUAACCGCAGGGCUGCCUUCUAAACUGUCGGGCUAGAGCACGGUAGAGGCAGAUGGAAUUCCCGGUGUAGCGGUGGAAUGCGUAGAGAUCGGGAAGAACACCAGUGGCGAAGGCGGUCUGCUGGGCCGUUGCUGACGCUGAGGCGCGACAGCGUGGGGAGCAAACAGG